RNAcentral lists this ribosomal RNA (485 nucleotides) under uncultured bacterium. Its description in RNAcentral is "bacterial SSU rRNA". It matches the Rfam family "Bacterial small subunit ribosomal RNA", at positions 28 to 507 of the family's 1533-position model. The record is from RNAcentral.
GAUGAACGCUAGCGGGAGGCUUAACACAUGCAAGUCGAGGGGCAUCACGGGUAGCAAUACCUGGUGGCGACCGGCAGACGGGUGAGUAACGCGUAUGUAACCUACCCUGUACAGGGGGAUAACCCGGAGAAAUUCGGACUAAUAUCCCAUAAUGAUAUCUGGGGGCAUCUUCGGAUAUUUAAAGUUCCGGCGGUACAGGAUGGGCAUGCGUAACAUUAGCUAGUUGGUAAGGUAACGGCUUACCAAGGCUUUGAUGUUUAGGGGUCCUGAGAGGGUGGUCCCCCACACUGGUACUGAGACACGGACCAGACUCCUACGGGAGGCAGCAGUGAGGAAUAUUGGUCAAUGGGCGCAAGCCUGAACCAGCCAUCCCGCGUGCAGGAAGACGGCCCUAUGGGUUGUAAACUGCUUUUCCAGGGAGAGAAACUUGCGUACGCGUUGCGCAAUUGACGGUACCCUGGGAAUAAGCAUCGGCUAACUCCGUG